RNAcentral lists this ribosomal RNA (465 nucleotides) under uncultured Neisseriaceae bacterium. Its description in RNAcentral is "bacterial SSU rRNA". It matches the Rfam family "Bacterial small subunit ribosomal RNA", at positions 338 to 795 of the family's 1533-position model. The record is from RNAcentral. Lineage: Bacteria; Pseudomonadati; Pseudomonadota; Betaproteobacteria; Neisseriales; Neisseriaceae.
CCUACGGGAGGCAGCAGUGGGGAAUUUUGGACAAUGGGCGCAAGCCUGAUCCAGCCAUGCCGCGUGUCUGAAGAAGGCCUUCGGGUUGUAAAGGACUUUUGUUAGGGAAGAAAAGGAGUGUGUUAAUACCAUACUCUGCUGACGGUACCUAAAGAAUAAGCACCGGCUAACUACGUGCCAGCAGCCGCGGUAAUACGUAGGGUGCGAGCGUUAAUCGGAAUUACUGGGCGUAAAGCGAGCGCAGACGGUUACUUAAGCAGGAUGUGAAAUCCCCGAGCUCAACUUGGGAACUGCGUUCUGAACUGGGUAGCUAGAGUAUGUCAGAGGGGGGUAGAAUUCCACGUGUAGCAGUGAAAUGCGUAGAGAUGUGGAGGAAUACCGAUGGCGAAGGCAGCCCCCUGGGAUAAUACUGACGUUCAUGCUCGAAAGCGUGGGUAGCAAACAGGAUUAGAUACCCCUGUAGUC